GAUAAUAAAUAAGAUCGCAUGAUCAGCUUUUGAAAGGCGGCGUAAGCUGUCGCUAAGGGAUGGCCCCGCGGUGCAUUAGCUAGUUGGUAAGGUAACGGCUUACCAAGGCGACGAUGCAUAGCCGAGUUGAGAGACUGAUCGGCCACAUUGGGACUGAGACACGGCCCAAACUCCUACGGGAGGCAGCAGUAGGGAAUCUUCCACAAUGGACGCAAGUCUGAUGGAGCAACGCCGCGUGAGUGAAGAAGGUUUUCGGAUCGUAAAGCUCUGUUGUUGGUGAAGAAGGAUAGAGGUAGUAACUGGCCUUUAUUUGACGGUAAUCAACCAGAAAGUCACGGCUAACUACGUGCCAGCAGCCGCGGUAAUACGUAGGUGGCAAGCGUUGUCCGGAUUUAUUGGGCGUAAAGCGAGCGCAGGCGGAAAAAUAAGUCUAAUGUGAAAGCCCUCGGCUUAACCGAGGAACUGCAUCGGAAACUGUUUUUCUUGAGUGCAGAAGAGGAGAGUGGAACUCCAUGUGUAGCGGUGGAAUGCGUAGAUAUAUGGAAGAACACCAGUGGCGAAGGCGGCUCUCUGGUCUGCAACUGACGCUGAGGCUCGAAAGCAUGGGUAGCGAACAGGAUUAGAUACCCUGGUAGUCCAUGCCGUAAACGAUGAGUGCUAAGUGUUGGGAGGUUUCCGCCUCUCAGUGCUGCAGCUAACGCAUUAAGCACUCCGCCUGGGGAGUACGACCGCAAGGUUGAAACUCAAAGGAAUUGACGGGGGCCCGCACAAGCGGUGGAGCAUGUGGUUUAAUUCGAAGCAACGCGAAGAACCUUACCAGGUCUUGACAUCUAGUGCAAUCUGUAGAGAUACGGAGUUCCCUUCGGGGACGCUAAGACAGGUGGUGCAUGGCUGUCGUCAGCUCGUGUCGUGAGAUGUUGGGUUAAGUCCCGCAACGAGCGCAACCCUUGUUAUUAGUUGCCAGCAUUAAGUUGGGCACUCUAAUGAGACUGCCGGUGACAAACCGGAGGAAGGUGGGGAUGACGUCAAGUCAUCAUGCCCCUUAUGACCUGGGCUACACACGUGCUACAAUGGGCAGUACAACGAGAAGCAAGCCUGCGAAGGCAAGCGAAUCUCUGAAAGCUGUUCUCAGUUCGGACUGCAGUCUGCAACUCGACUGCACGAAGCUGGAAUCGCUAGUAAUCGUCCCAGUCC
This 1194-nucleotide ribosomal RNA is filed under the name uncultured bacterium. RNAcentral's name for it is "bacterial SSU rRNA". It matches the Rfam family "Bacterial small subunit ribosomal RNA", at positions 172 to 1355 of the family's 1533-position model. The record is from RNAcentral.